GAUGAUUCAGAGACAAGAAAUGGGGGCUUUUGAAUCCAUUUUACCUGUAGCACCGGCGCCCUAAAAAGGACCAACUGUGUGGAAGGUUGUGCCUGGAGUUGUGAAAAUGCAACAUGGUCUUGAAGGUUGAACAACUCCAUCUGCCUCCCGCAUUUCGAUUCGUCCCGGUUUUUCUAAUUGAGAAGACAUGGUGCCUGUCAUCGGGGUGACCUCCAUGUGAGAGGGGUGCCUGUUUAGCUGUCUCCUGGCUUCUCCUUUGCACUGUGGUCCCUUUAGGUGACAGAGCUGGUUCUUCUAAGUGGCGUAUGCUCAUGCUUACAACUAGAAGAGAUAGAUGUCUAGGGUGCUUCAGAAGUGGACCAAAUUUGGAGUUUCCCCAUGUGGCUCAGUGGCUUAAGAACCCACAUAGUGUCUGUGAGGAUUUGGUUUGAUCCCUGGCCUCACUUAGCGGGUUAAGGAUCUGGUGUUGCUGCAAGCUGUGCUGUGGGUUGUAGGUGCGGCUCGGAUCCAGCAUGGCUGUGGCUGUGGCUGUGGCUGUGGCUGUGGCUGUGGUGUAGGCCAGCAGCUGCAGCUCGACCCCUAUCCUGGGAACUUCCCUAUGCCACAGGUGCGGCCCUAAAGAUCCUGCUGUGCAGCCCUGGGAACUGUAUCUAGUCACUUAGGAUGGAGCAUGAUAAUGUGAGAAAAAAGAAUCUUUACAUGUAUGUGUAACUGGGUUACCAUGCUAUACAGUAGAAAAUUGACAGAACACUGUAAACCAGCUAUAAUAAAAAAAAUCAUCAUAAAAAUAAAUAGAUAAAUGAAAAGAAACAGACUGAGCUUGGACAUGCAUAGGGGUGGACAGGAUGUCCUUGCUCCAAAAACAUUGUUUUGGAGAUUGUGCAUUUAUUAUUACUAUUGUUUUUUGAAGGGCAGGAGGCUUGCAGAAAGUUCUGCAGAGGAGCUCAGAGGAGAAAGAAGAGAGAACGGAAGAACCGAGAGGGCUGUGUUGAGAACUCGUGUUGUGAGGAUUCGAGGGGCUUGUGUUAGAUGUGCAGACCCCAGCCUGGGAGUGUCGGCCUCAGUUGAUCUGGGAUGAGGCCUUGGAAUCUGGAAGUUUAGGAAGAGACUGCUCCGUCCCAUGGAUGCUGGACUUGGCCUUGGGCCUUGCCUUGGCCAAUGGCAUGUUAGCUGAAAUGGCUUGAGCAAAGGCUUUUAAUGGGCUUGCCCUCUUGCACGUCUGUCAUGGCCAUGGGAAAUAUGCCCUGGGUCACCACUGGUCCCCGAGAGUCACCUCAGGUACUGGAAUCAUUGUGGCCCUGCAGCUGGAAGCAGAGCCACCCCAGCAGAGUAUGCUGACAAUCACUAAGUAUUGUGUCCUCUCGGGAUGGUUUCUUAUGCGGUGAUAGCUGACAGAUAUCAAGUUUUUUCCUGUGUGCUAGUUACCUAUGUGAACCCCACUGUCAAAAUUACUAAGAAAGAUGCUCACAACCUGUUCAUCCCUCUAAAAUCGUCACUAGCGUGGAUGUUCACUGUGGACAGAAAUUAUAUUUUUCUUGUCUACUUCACCUAAAAUUCCACCAGGAGCUCAUAAAGUACCUAUGGGAUAAAUAGAUGAACAGAUGAAAGAAAGAAAGAAUAAAUGAGCUCAGUCUGCCCCAAUUCCUUGCCUCCCCUUGGAUCCUCCCAAUUACAUUGUCUUACUUUCUCUUUGAAAAAUUACUCUAAUUUUAACCAGUUAAUCAAUGUUAUCUGCCAGAAUCAAACAUGCAAACCCCUCAAAGCUUAACGAAUACAUACUCGUUCAGUGCUUAGUUAACUAAGCACUCCCCCCACUUUGGUUUAUUUCCAUUUUGUAAUGCAUCUUGUGAUGCAUUUCUUUUUCCCCUGUUGGAAGGACCCGAAGACCAGAGGCGCCAAUGUCAUGCCCGUGUCAACCAGCAGGUGGCGCGAAGGAGACGCAUCCUCUGUGUCUCUUCCUCCCGGUCCAGGGUCACCCCCCCCCCCUUCCCAGUGGGUCCUGCUCCUCCCUGACUGGAUGCUGGGGUUCUGUCUCUGAGAACCUCUGAGUAGUGUCUGAGUCUGGUUCUCUCUCCAAGAAUAUGUCUUUGUCCCCUGGGGUGCAGGAGAAUAGAGUGUUCCUUUUUUUAUGGGCCAGGAAAACGUUAAUGAAAAAUGAACCAUCAGGGAAAUUAAUUUCAAAGAUUUAUGCAUUCCCCGUGACUAACAAGCCUGCACCUGUUCCUUUGACACCCUUUAUCUGAUUCCCCCCUCCCCCCCUUCUUAGAGUUCUCCUCCUUCCCCACAGGCACCUGGUGGGUGCGUUGAGCAGUUAAAUACAUGUACAGUGGGAUACAGACACGGCUUGUUAAUUAAAAAGGUUGCACUGCUGCUUCCCUGCUACGAAGAGAUGAACCAGGCUGAGCAGAAAGAGUUGCCGUCCAGGAGAGGCCGGUUGGGUUUUUACCUGACAUGUAAACGGCGCUGUGUAAAGGGGAUGAGAGCUCCAACGCCUCCCUCACGGGUCAUUUUCUCUCCUGCCCUCCCCUCCUCUGCGUCACGACAGGCACCCUUGUCGGAUAAACCCAAAGAGAAAGGGUCACUUGUUCCGCUUGCUCCCCUCCCACAUCCGUCCACUGUCCUUGGCUCCAGCAUUUUUCUCUCCGUGCCACUGACCCUAAAUCUGUCUUCUGAUCAGCUUAUACAUAGACGAUUCUAUGUUGGACCCCCAAGGACACCGCUUCCCUCUUGGCCUCUCAGGUGGACUCCACGGGUCCCCACCCUACACUCCAUGUAGCUGGGCCCUGGAGGUGGGAUAAAUGGCCUGCACUGACCCCAUUCUUACGUCCAGACGUCUUUUCUUCUCUCCUUUCUCAUAAGCCUUCCUCCUUUAAAGCUCUUGUCUUCCAACCCCCCACCCCACCCCCCGCUGUCCUUGUCAACGUCAUCUGUAGACCUCCUGGUUCUUCCUCUAUCAUUAACGCCUUCACCUGUCUCACUGUCAUCCUUGCCACUUUUCUUGGUAACUUGAACGUCCACAUGGAUCGUGGCUCUCGGCCUUGCUCAGUGGUCAGAGCCCUACCGGAGACCGGUUACAUCAGAAUCUGCAGAGUGGGGCUGGGGUGUCGGCAUUACAAUAAAACAUCUUUCCAGGAGUUCCUUUUCUGGCUCAGUGGAAACAAAUCCGACUAGGAUCCAUGAGGAUGAGGGUUCGAUCCCUGGCCUUGAUCAGUGUGUCAGGGACCCAUCGUUGCCGUGGGUGGGGCAUAGACUGGCAGCUGUAGCUCUGAUUCUAACCCUGGCCUGAGAACUUCCUUAUGCCUCAGGUGUGGCC
This 3313-nucleotide long non-coding RNA is filed under the name Sus scrofa (pig). RNAcentral describes it as "lncRNA (ENSSSCG00000061825.1)". Lineage: Eukaryota; Metazoa; Chordata; Mammalia; Artiodactyla; Suidae. The record is from RNAcentral.